GCAGAUGGCCAGGCGUUCGCUGCGUCAGUUUCUGGCGGAGAGGAAAGUCCGGGCUCCACAGGACACGAUGGUGGGUAACGCCCACCGUCCGCGAGGAUAGGGCAAGUGCAACAGAAAGCAAACCGCCUGAAUGACACUCUUCUUUGAGGUGUGUUGUGAGGCGAAGUCGGCAACGACUUUCCAGGUAAGGGUGAAACGGUGCGGUAAGAGCGCACCAGCGAUUCAGGUGACUGAGUCGGCUGGGUAAACCCCAUCGGGAGCAAAGCUAAGCAGAAGGAUGUGUGUCCUCGGACGCACGCGAUUCGGUCCGGGUUGUUUCCUUCGGGUCAGCUGCUGGAGGUGUCGAGCAAUUGGCACCGUAGAUAAAUGAACGCCCGCGACAGGCAACUGUCGUCGACAAAACCCGGCUUAUCGGCCAUCUGCAGAC
This 427-nucleotide RNase P RNA is filed under the name Fuerstiella sp. RNAcentral describes it as "RNase P RNA component class A". It matches the Rfam family "Bacterial RNase P class A". From Rfam's summary of the family: Ribonuclease P (RNase P) is a ubiquitous endoribonuclease, found in archaea, bacteria and eukarya as well as chloroplasts and mitochondria. Its best characterised activity is the generation of mature 5'-ends of tRNAs by cleaving the 5'-leader elements of precursor-tRNAs. Lineage: Bacteria; Pseudomonadati; Planctomycetota; Planctomycetia; Planctomycetales; Planctomycetaceae. The record is from RNAcentral.